Molecule: non-coding RNA, 72 nt
Organism: Stenotrophomonas sp. Leaf70
Lineage: Bacteria; Pseudomonadati; Pseudomonadota; Gammaproteobacteria; Lysobacterales; Lysobacteraceae
Source: Rfam
GGGUGCUUAGCUCAGUGGUAGAGCGUCUCCCUUACAAGGAGAGGGUCGGGGGUUCGAAACCCUCAGCACCCA